Molecule: ribosomal RNA, 460 nt
Filed under: uncultured bacterium
Lineage: Bacteria
Description: partial 16S ribosomal RNA
Rfam family: Bacterial small subunit ribosomal RNA
Source: RNAcentral
CCUACGGGAGGCAGCAGUGAGGAAUAUUGGUCAAUGGGCGCGAGCCUGACCCAGCCAAGUAGCGUGAAGGAUGACUGCCCUACGGGUGGUAAACUUCUUUUAUAAAGGAAUAAAGUGAGGCACGUGUGCCUUUUUGUAUGUACUUUAUGAAUAAGGAUCGGCUAACUCCGUGCCAGCAGCCGCGGUAAUACGGAGGAUACGAGCGUUAUCCGGAUUUAUUGGGUUUAAAGGGAGCGUAGAUGGGUUGUUAAGUCAGUUGUGAAAGUUUGCGGCUCAACCGUAAAAGUGCAAUUGAUACUGGCAGUCUUGAGUGCAGUUGAGGUAAGCGGAAUUCGAGGUGUAGCGGUGAAAUGCGUAGAUAUCACGAAGAACACCGAUGGCGAAGGCAGCUUACUAAACUGCCACUGACAUUGAUGCUCGAAAGUGUGGGUAUCAAACAGGAUUAGAUACCCUUGUAGUC